AAAUAUGCCCUAGAGGCAAUAAUAAAGUUAUUAUUUAUUUCCUCAUAUCAUGAUAAAUGUUUAUUAUUCAUGCUAGAAUUGUAUUAACCAGAAACAUAAUACAUGUGUGAAUAUAUAGACAAACAGAGUGUCACUAGUAUGCCUCUACUUGACUAGCUUGUUAAUCAAAGAUGGUUAUGUUUCCUAACCAUGAACAAGGAGUUGUUAUUUGAUUAACAAGGUCACAUCAUUAGUUGAAUGAUCUGAUUGACAUGACCCAUUCCGUUAGCUUAGCACACGAUCGUUUAGUAUGUUGCUAUUGCUUCCUUCAUGACUUAUACAUGUUCCUAUGACUAUGAGAUUAUGCAACUCCCGUUUACCGGAGGAACACUUUGUGUGCUACCAAACGUCACAACGUAACUGGGUGAUUAUAAAGGUGCUCUACAGGUGUCUCCAAAGGUACUUGUUGAGUUGGCAUAUUUCAAGAUUAGGAUUUGUCACUCCGAAUGUCGGAGAGGUAUCUCUGGGCCCUCUCGGUAAUACACAUCACUUAAGCCUUGCAAGCAUUUCAACUAAUGAGUUAGUUGUGAGAUGAUGUAUUACGGAACGAGUAAAGAGACUUGCCGGCAACGAGAUUGAACUAGGUAUUGGAUACCGACGAUCGAAUCUUGGGCAAGUAACAUACCGAUGACAAAGGGAACAACGUAUGUUGUUGUGCGGUUUGACCGAUAAAGAUCUUCGUAGAAUAUGUAGGAACCAAUAUGGGCAUCCAGGUCCCGCUAUUGGUUAUUGACCGGAUGCAUGUCUCGGUCAUGUCUACAUUGUUCUCGAACCGUAGGGUCCGCACGCUUAAGGUUUCGAUGACAGUUAUAUUAUGAGUUUAUGUAUUUUGAUGUACCGAAGGUUGUUUGGAGUCCCGGAUAUGAUCACGGACAUGACGAGGAGUCUCGAAAUGGUCGAGACAUAAAGAUUGAUAUAUUGGACGGAUAUAUUUGGACACCGGAAAGGUUCCGGAGAAGUUUGGAGCUCCUGGAGAUUACCGGAACCCCCCGGGAGGUAUAUGGGCCUUAUUGGGCCCAUGUAGGAGGAAGAGAGAAGGAGCAAGGGAGGGGGGCGCGGCCCCCCAAGCCCAAUCCGAAUUGGGGAGGGGGGCCGGCCCCCCCUUUCCUUUCUCCUUCCCCCUCUCUUCCUUCCUACUACUAGUACUACUUCCUAAUACUAGUACUCCUUCCUUCCCCCUCCAAAUAAGAUAAGGAAAAGAGAGGGAAACCUACUUGGAGUAGGUUUCCCCCUCCCUAUGGCGCGCCCCCCUUGAGGCCGGCCACCUCCUCCCUCCCUCCUUUAUAUACGGGGGUAGGGGGGCACCCUAGGACACACAAGUUGAUCAUUGAUCGUUCCUUAGCCGUGUGCGGUGCCCCCUUCACGAUAUUACACCUCGAUCAUAUUGUAGCGGUGCUUAGGCGAAGCCCUGCGACAGGAGAACAUCAAGAUCGUCACCACGCCGUCGUGCUGACGGAACUCCCCCUCGGAGCCUCUACUGGAUUGGAGAUCGAGGGUGCAUCAUCGAGCUGUACGUGUGUCAAGAACUCGGAGGUGCCGGAGUAACGGUGCUUGGGUCGGUUGGACCGGGAAGACGUACGACUACUUCCUCUAUGUUGCGUCAACGCUUCCGCUUCGGUCUAGGAGGGUACGUAGACAACACUCUCCCCUCUCGUUGCUAUAUCAUCACCAUGAUCUUGCGUGUGCAUAGGAAAUUUUUUGAAAUUACUACGUUCCCCAACAGUGGCAUCCGAGCCUAGGUUUUUAUGGUUUGAUGUUAUAUGCACGAGUAGAACACAAGUGAGUUGUGGGCGAUAUAAGUCAUACUGCUUACCAGCAUGUCAUACUUUGGUUCGGCGGCAUUGUUGGAUGAAGCGGCCCAGACCGACAUUACGCGUACGCUUACGCGAGACUGGUUUUACCGCCGUACUUUGCACACAGGUGACUAGCGGGUGUCAUUUUCUCCAACUUUAGUUGAACCGAGUGUGGCUACGCCCGGUCCUUGCGAAGGUUAAAACAACAUCAACUUGACAAACUAUCGUUGUGGUUUUGAUGCGUAGGUGAGAUUGGUUCUUGCUUAAGCCCGUAGCAGCCACGUAAAACUUGCAACAACAAAGUAGAGGACGUCUAACUUGUUUUUGCAGGGCAUGUUGUGAUGUGAUAUGGCCAAGACAUGAUGCUAUAUUUUAUUGUAUGAGAUGAUCAUGUUUUGUAACCGAAGUUAUCGGCAACAGGCAGGAGCCAUAUGGUUGUCGCUUUAUUGUAUGAAAUGCAAACGCCCUGUAAUUGCUUUACUUUAUCACUAAGCGGUAGCGAUAGUCGUAGAAGCAAUAGAUGGCGUAAACGACAAUGAUGCUACGAUGGAGAUCAAGGUGUCGCGCCGGUGACGGUGGUGAUCAUGAUGGUGCUUCGGAGAUGGAGAUCACAAGCACAAGAAGAUGAUGGCCAUAUCAUAUCACUUAUAUUGAUUGCAUAUGAUGUUUAUCUAUUAUACAUCUUAUUCUUGCUUUGAUUGACGGUAGCAUUUUAAGAUGAUCUCUCACUAAUUAUCAAGAAGUGUUCUCCCUGAGUAUGCACCGUUGCCAAAGUUCGUCGUGCCCAGACACCACGUGAUGAUCGGGUGUGAUAUGCUCUACGUCCAUCUACAACGGGUGCAAGCCAGUUUUGCACACGCGGAAUACUCAGGUUAAACUUGAGAGCCUAGCAUAUGCAGAUAUGGCCUCGGAACACGGAGACCGAAAGGUCGAGCGUGAAUCAUAUAGUAGAUAUGAUCAACAUAAGAUGUUCACCAUUGAAAACUACUCCAUCUCACGUGAUGAUCGGUUAUGGUUUAGUUGAUUUGGAUCACGUGAUCACUUAGAUGACUAGAGAGAUGUCUGUCUAAGUGGGAGUUCUUAAGUAAUAUGAUUAAUUGAACUUAAAUUUAUCAUGAACUUAGUCCUGAUAGUAUUUUGCAAAUUAUGUUCUCGAUCAAUAGCUCACGUUGUUGCUUUCAUAUGUUUAUUUUCAUAUGUUCCUAGAGAAAAUUGUGUUGAAAAAUGUUAGUAGCAAUGAUGCGGAUUGGAUCCGCGAUCUGAGGUUUAUCCUCAAUGCUGCACAGAAGAAUUAUGUCCUUAAUGCACCGCUAGGUGACAGACCUAUUGCAGGAGCAGAUGCAGACGUUAUGAACGUUUGGCUGGCUCAAUAUGAUGACUACUUGAUAGUUUUGUGCACCAUGCUUUAUGGCUUAGAAUCGGGACUUCAAAGAUGUUUUGAACAUCAUGGACCAUAUGAGAUGUUCCAGGAAUUGAAGUUAAUAUUUCAAGCAAAUACCCGAGUUGAGAGAUAUGAAAUCUUCAACAAGUUCUAUAGCUAAAAGAUGGAGGAGAAUCGCUCAACUAGUGAGCAUGUGGUCAGAUUGUCUGGGUACUUCAAUCGCUUGAAUCAAGUGGGAGUUAAUCUUCCAGAUAAGAUAGUGAUUGACAGAAUUCUCUAGUCACCAUCACCAAGUUAGUAGAACUUCGUGAUGAACUAUAGUAUGCAAGGGAUGAUGAAAAUGAUUCCCGAGUUUUUUCAUGAUGAUGAAAUCGAUGAAGGUAGAAAUCAAGAAAGAACAUCAAGUGUUGAUGGUUAACAAGACCACUAGUUUCAAGAAAAGGGCAAAGGGAUAGAAGGGAACUUCAAGAAGAACGGCAAGCAAGUUGCUGCUCAAGUGAAGAAGCCCAAGUCUGGACCUAAGCCUGAGACUAAGUGCUUCUACUGCAAAGGGACUGGUCACUAGAAGCAGAACUACCCCAAGUAUUUGGCGGAUAAGAAGGAUGGCAAAGUGAACAAAGGUAUAUUUGAUAUACAUGUUAUUGAUGUGUACUUUACUAGUGUUUAUAGCAACCCCUCGGUAUUUGGUACUGGUUCAGUUGCUAAGAGUAGUAACUCGAAACGGGAGUUGCAGAAUAAACAGAAACUAGUUAAGGGUGAAGUGACGAUGUGUGUUGAAAGUAGUUUCAAGAUUGAUAUGAUCAUCAUCGCACACUCUCUAUACUUUCGGGAUUAGUGUUGAACCUAAAUAAAUGUUAUUUGGUGUUUGCGUUGAGCAUGAAUAUGAUUUGAUCAUGUUUAUUGCAAUACGGUUAUUCAUUUAAGUAAGAGAAUAAACUGUUGUUCUGUUUACAUGAAUAAAACCUUAUAUGGUUACACACGCAAUGGAAAAGGUUCAUUGGAUCUCGAUCGUAGUGAUACACAUAUUCAUAAUAUCGAAAUCAAAAGAUGCGAAGUUAAUAAUGAUAGUGCAACUUAUUUGUGGCACUGCCGUUUAGGUCAUAUUGGUGUAAAGCGCAUGAAGAAACUCCAUGCUGAUGGGAUUUUGGAAUCACUUGAUUAUGAAUCACUUGAUGCUUGAGAACCAUGCCUCAUGGGCAAGAUGACUAAAACUCUGUUCUCCGGAACAGUGGAGCGAGCAACUGACUUAUUGGAAAUAAUACAUACUGAUGUAUGCGAUCCAAUGAGUGUUAAGGCUCGCGACGGGUAUCGUUAUUUUCUGACCUUCACAGAUGAUUUGAGCAGAUAUGGGUAUAUCUACUUGAUGAAACAUAAGUCUGAAAUAGUUGAAAGGUUCAAAGAAUUUCAGAGUGAAGUGGAAAAAUCAUCGUGACAAGAAAAUAAGGUUUCUACGAUCUGAUCGCGGAGACAAAUAUUUGAGUUACGAGUUUGGUCUUCAAAUAAAACAAUGUGGAAUAAUUUCACAAAUUCAUGCCACCUGGAACACCACAUCAUAAUGGUGUUUCCGAACGUCAUAUAACCGUACUUUAUUGGAUAUAGUACAAUCUAUGAUGUUUCUUACCGAUUUAUCAAUAUUGUUUUGGGGUUAUGCAUUAGAGACAGCUGCAUUCACGUUAAAAGGGCACCAUCUAAAUCCGCUGAGAUGACAACAUAUGAACUGUGGUUUAGCAAGAAACCCAAGUUGUCGUUUCUUAAAGUUUGGGGCUGCGAUGCUUAUGUGAAAAAGUUUCAUCCUGAUAAGCUCGAACCCAAAUCGGAGAAGUGCGUCUUCAUAGAAUACCCAAAGGAAAUUGUUGGGUACACCAUCUAUCACAGAUCCGAAGGCAAGAUAUUCGUUGCUAAAAAAAAUGGAUCCCUUCUAGAGAAGGAGUUUCUCUCGAAAGAAGUGAGUGGGAGGAAAGUAGAACUUGAUAAGGUAAUUGUACCUUCUCCCUUAUUGGAAAGUAGUUCAUCACAGAAAUCUGUUCCUGUGACUAAUACACCAAUUAGUGAGGAAGCUAAUGAUGAUGAUCAUGUAACUUCAGAUCAAGUUACUACCGAAUCUCGUAGGUAAACCAGAGUGAGAUCCGCACCAGAGUGGUACGGUAAUCCUGUUCUGGAAGUCAUGUAACUAGACCAUGAUGAACCUACGAACUAUGAGGAAGCGAUGAUGAGCCCAUAUUCCGCGAAAUGGCUUGAGGCCAUGAAAUCUGAGAUGAGAUCCAUGUAUGAGAACAAAGUGUGGACUUUGGUGGAGUUGCCCGAUGAUCGGCAAGCCAUAGAAAAUAAAUGGAUCUUCAAGAGGAAGACGGACGCUGAUAGUAGUGUUACUAUCUACAAAGCUAGACUUGUCGAAAAAGGUUUUUGACAAAGUUCAAGAUGUUGAAUACAAUGAGAUUUUCUCACUCGUAUCGAUGCUUAAAAGUCUGUCCGAAUCAUGUUAGCAAUUGCCGCAUUUUAUGAAAUCUGGCAAAUGGAUAAACAAAACUGCAUUCCUUAAUGGAGUUAUUAAAGAACAGUUGUAUGUGAUGCAACCAAGAGGUUUUGUCGAUCCUAAAGGUGUUAACAAAAUGUGCAUCUAUGGACUGGUGCAAGCCUCUCGGAGUUAGAAUAAACGUUUUGAUAGUGUGAUCAAAGCAUUUGGUUUUAUACAGACUUUUGGAGAAGCCUGUAUUUACUAGAAAGUGAGUGGGAGCACUACAGCAUUUCUGAUAAGUAUAUGUGAAUGACAUAUUGUAGAUCGGAAAUAAUGUAGAAUUAUUCUGCAAAGCAUAAAGGAGUGUUUAAAAGGAGUUUUUCAAAGAAAGACCUCCGUGAAGCUACUUACAUAUUGAGCAUCAAGAUCUAUAGAGAUAGAUCAAGACGCUUGAUAAGUUUUUUCAAUGAGUACAUACCUUGACAAGAUUUUGAAGUAGUUCAAAAUGGAACAUUCAAAGAAAGAGUUCUUGCCUGUGUUACAAGGUGUGAAAUUGAGUAAGACUCAAAACCCGACCACGGCAGAAGAUAGAAAGAGAAUGAAAAUCAUUCCCUAUGCCUUGGCCAUAGGUUCUAUAAAGUAUGUCAUGCUGUGUACCAGAUCUAUUGUAUACCCUACACUGAGUUUGGCAAGGGAGUACAAUAGUGAUCUAGGAGUAGAUCACUAGACAACGGUCAAAAUUAUCCUUAGUGGAAUAAGGAUAUGUUUCUCGAUUAUGGAAGUGACAAAAGGUUCGUCGUAAAGGGUUACGUCGAUGCAAGUUUUGACACCGAUCUGGAUGACUCUAAGUCUCGAUCUAGAUACAUAUUGAAAGUGGGAGCAAUUAGCUAGAGUAGCUCCGUGCAAUUGUAGACAUAGAAUAUUUGCAAAAUACAUACGGCUCUGAAUGUGACAGACCCGUUGACUAAGAUUUUCUCACAAGCAAAACAUGAUCACACCUUAGUACUCUUUGGGUGUUAAUCACAUAGCGAUGUGAACUAGAUUACUGAAUCUAGUAAACCCUUUGGGUGUUGGUUACAUGGCGAUGUGAACUAUGGGUGUUAAUCGCAUGAUGAUGUGAACUAUCGAUGUUAAUCACAUUGUGAUGUGAUCUAGAUUAUUGACUCUAGUGCAAGUGGGAGACUGAAGGAAAUAUGCCCUAGAGGCAAUAAUAAAGUUAUUAUUUAUUUCCUCAUAUCAUGAUAAAUGUUUAUUAUUCAUGCUAGAAUUGUAUUAACCGGAAACAUAAUACAUGUGUGAAUAUAUAGACAAACAGAGUGUCACUAGUAUGCCUCUACUUGACUAGCUUGUUAAUCAAAGAUGGUUAUGUUUCCUAACCAUGAACAAGGAGUUGUUAUUUGAUUAACAAGGUCACAUCAUUAGUUGAAUGAUCUGAUUGACAUGACCCAUUCCGUUAGCUUAGCACACGAUCGUUUAGUAUGCUGCUAUUGCUUCCUUCAUGACUUAUACAUGUACCUAUGACUAUGAGAUUAUGCAACUCCCGUUUACCGGAGGAACACUUUGUGUGCUACCAAACGUCACAACGUAACUGGGUGAUUAUAAAGGUGCUCUACAGGUGUCUCCGAAGGUACUUGUUGAGUUGGCGUAUUUCGAGAUUAGGAUUUGUCACUCCGAAUGUCGGAGAGGUAUCUCUGGGCCCUCUCGGUAAUACACAUCACUUAAGCCUUGCAAGCAUUUCAACUAAUG
RNAcentral lists this long non-coding RNA (7414 nucleotides) under Triticum aestivum (bread wheat). Its description in RNAcentral is "long non-coding RNA (TAES_LNC028306)". Lineage: Eukaryota; Viridiplantae; Streptophyta; Magnoliopsida; Poales; Poaceae. The record is from RNAcentral.